Molecule: transfer RNA, 71 nt
Filed under: Scincella vandenburghi (Tsushima smooth skink)
Lineage: Eukaryota; Metazoa; Chordata; Lepidosauria; Squamata; Scincidae
Description: tRNA-Phe
Rfam family: tRNA
About the family: Transfer RNA (tRNA) molecules are approximately 80 nucleotides in length.
Source: RNAcentral
GUUAUUGUAGCUUAAAAAUCAAAGCGCGACACUGAAGAUGCCGAGACGGAUUACCCAUUUUCCCGAAAACA